GUCGGCGAGCCCGCGGUGGGGGUCCCCGCGCCGCCCAGGCCUACCCCGGCUCCUUGGGAUAGAUGGGGAAGCUGAGGCCCAGAAGGGGGCUGAGACCACCUCCCAGUUUCCCCAGUGAGGUGGCGCCUGAGCCACGGCCAGGCCCGGCCUCCUUCCACCCGGCCCUGCUGUGCGCGCGGCGGGUGCUGACCUGGCGAGGCCGGACAGGGGACCAGGUCGGGGUGACCGUCACUGACACCUGGACAGUCCUCGUUGUGUUCGGGGUGGGAAGCCCACGGAAGACAUCAACACAGGAGACUCCCAAGACUGCUGGGGCCAAAUGUGGCAGGUGGACGUCUCCCCGCCACCGAGCAAGCCAUCAGUUCUGCAGCGGACACCAGCCGAGUGUCCUCCAACACCAUUCCGGUACCUGCAGAUAGCGUCAGAUCCAGACACCUACACACACACACACACACACACACACACACACAUAUGCACACACAUGAGCUGCGAGGGCCAGCCUCUGGAACUUCUUACCGACUGGCCCGACGUUGAGGUUCCCACUGUUAGAGGAACGCUUGCUCACCAGGCCUCUGGUUUAAUGAAACAUGACCAGAGUGACUCCAUCUUGAAGUGAGUAGGAGGCACUCACAAGGCACCUAUAAGGUUAAUGCUUAUGGUCUAAAAAUAGCCAUGUCUCAAGCUGGACACCAAUUAUAAUUACAGAAUAUUUGUGGCCAUAUGGGGCAUCUCCCAGCAAGCCCGCAGACUGUCCAGAUAACCCAAGAGUGCAGGCCACUUUACUCAGAGAUAAUUUCAAUGAGCAGCCUGAGGUUGGAGGAUGAACGGGCACUGAUGGCACCCACAGCCCCUAUCCUUAGUGGGUGCAUCUGCCCAUUCCAGGUGUAAUUGUAGCUCCUUACAGUUUCUUGUAAGCAGAGGCACUAACAGAGGACAGGCCCUCCUCCUCCUGCUUUCUGAGCACGCCCCACUCUGGAACGGAGCCAUUUCAAAUAAACCUGCUUCUCUCACUGUG
This is a long non-coding RNA of Homo sapiens (human), 1015 nucleotides long. Ensembl annotates it as LY6E divergent transcript. Its record names the gene LY6E-DT. The record is from Ensembl. Lineage: Eukaryota; Metazoa; Chordata; Mammalia; Primates; Hominidae.